RNAcentral lists this ribosomal RNA (527 nucleotides) under uncultured bacterium. Its description in RNAcentral is "bacterial SSU rRNA". It matches the Rfam family "Bacterial small subunit ribosomal RNA", at positions 524 to 1050 of the family's 1533-position model. The record is from RNAcentral.
UACGUAGGUGGCGAGCGUUGUCCGGAUUUACUGGGUGUAAAGGAUGCGUAGGCGGAUGUUCAAGUCAGAUGUGAAAAUCCCGGGCUUAACUUGGGAAUUGCAUUUGAAACUGGAUAUCUGGAGUGCAGGAGAGGUGAGCGGAAUUCCUAGUGUAGCGGUGAAAUGCGUAGAUAUUAGGAAGAACACCGGUGGCGAAGGCGGCUCACUGGACUGUAACUGACGCUGAGGCAUGAAAGCGUGGGUAGCAAACAGGAUUAGAUACCCUGGUAGUCCACGCUGUAAACGAUGAAUAUUAGGUGUGGGAGGUAUCGACUCCUUCCGUGCCGUCGUAAACACAUUAAGUAUUCCACCUGGGGAGUACGGUCGCAAGAUUAAAACUCAAAGGAAUUGACGGGGGCCCGCACAAGCAGCGGAGCAUGUGGUUUAAUUCGAAGCAACGCGAAGAACCUUACCUGGACUUGACAUCCCCUGAAUAGAUUAGAGAUAAUUGAAGCCCUUCGGGGCAGGGAGACAGGUGGUGCAUGGUU